UUAAUGUAAGAAAAACAGAAUUAAUUCUGAUGCCUUUGGUUGAUUGCUCCGAUACGCAUCCGAAACAUAUCAUUUCUUAUCUUCAAAGUAUACUAAUAUUGGUCCAAAUGAUGUAUCUUUCGAUGAUCUUGAUUGCAAACAAAAAUUUCUAAAUAUAUGAUUUUAUUUUGAUAUUAAAAAGAUUUAUUGUGUUUCAUGAAUACAUUGGUGAAAAACUAUGAUUAAGAAAUUGAGUUCUAUAAAUAUAUAUACCUCAAUGAUCAUCUAUAUAUUUUUCUCUCCUACAUUCUUAAAGAUUUCCAUCAGAAUAUCAAUAGAGUGAAUGAUCUUAAAACUAGAAAUAUUUCAGUUCACUCAAAUGACUCUAAAAGAAAGAAAAUGUAAAUGCUUUUGAAAGAAAUUGAGCUUCAAUUGAAUCAUUUUCUGAUUAAUACUUUUAUACAUUUUCUCUAAGAUUAGGAGAAAGCAUAACUUGUUCUUAAAGGAUUAGAAAGAGUGAUUACUAUAAAUUCUGAAUAAUUCUAGAUCACUCUACAUUCUUGAUAUUACAGAAUUUCAGUGUUAUUCACGUUUAUCAC
Molecule: long non-coding RNA, 578 nt
Filed under: Phoenix dactylifera (date palm)
Lineage: Eukaryota; Viridiplantae; Streptophyta; Magnoliopsida; Arecales; Arecaceae
Description: long non-coding RNA (PDAC_LNC021139)
Source: RNAcentral